Molecule: transfer RNA, 72 nt
Organism: Catenaria anguillulae PL171
Lineage: Eukaryota; Fungi; Blastocladiomycota; Blastocladiomycetes; Blastocladiales; Catenariaceae
Rfam family: tRNA
About the family: Transfer RNA (tRNA) molecules are approximately 80 nucleotides in length. Their secondary structure includes four short double-helical elements and three loops (D, anti-codon, and T loops).
Source: Rfam
GGGGUUAUAGCUCAGUGGUAGAGCAAUCGACUGCAGAUCGAUAGGUCGCCGGUUCAACUCCGGCUGGCCCCU